Molecule: long non-coding RNA, 2734 nt
Organism: Caretta caretta (loggerhead turtle)
Lineage: Eukaryota; Metazoa; Chordata; Testudines; Cheloniidae
Source: RefSeq, a predicted model, not a curated record
AGAAAGGAGGCUGCUGAAGGUCGGACAGGCCGGCGGCGGCAGCGCCCGCUCCUGCUCUGGAGUCAAUGGGCAGGGGGCUGAUGCCUGUGGCGAAAGCCCGUCGGCCACGGCCGCCCGGUGCUGCGAGCUCGGCGGGUGACCUGUCCAAAGGGGGGAGAAAUGGGCUUGUGUGCUGCUCCCCCCCCCCGCCAGGGCGUAAUAAAGGCUGGACAGGGCUUGUGAAAUCGGUGUGUGGGGAGGGGGGUUAUUUCCUCUUCUGCUUUUACCACAAGAAAUAACGAGUCCGGCUCCCCUGGGUUUGCUGGAGAACCCUUUGAGGUUUCCGGUGCCGCACUGCGGACCGGCGGUGGCCUCCUGGCUCAGGCACCAGGCUGGCACUCAGGAGGUCUGGCUUCUUCUUCUCCUGGCUCCGCCGUUGUCAGAGCUGUGUGGCUUGGGGCAAAUUAUUAAACUCUCCCUGCUUAAAUCUUCCCCGCUGAAAACUGGAGCUAAUGCUUAGGCACCUUCGUUAAAUCACUUUGAGCUCUUGUGGACGAAAAAUGCGGUAUAAAUUCUAAGUAUGAGCGUUUGUGCCUCUUCAUUAGGGGCUAGGGUGGUGGGAUCUUUCCCUGUUAAACCUUGGCGUUAAAUAGGAGUUAAAACAGCUUUAAAAACUGCAGGAAAAAUCUUUCACCCUCAGUUGCUCAGUUUUCAGGGUUUUUUUUCCUUGUAACUUCAUAAUCCCCUCAGUAGUCAUAAACAGGGUUUCCAGGUGGACAAAACUAGAAUUUUUAGCCUUUAAGAAAGUGGGAAAAAAUCCUUUUUCGUGUCUUUUUCAUAUGUCAUAAAGCAGCAUAAAAGUCUAUAGAACCCUUCUCCCUUUGUAGUUCACCUUUAAUAGCACCUUGAGUUCUGUGCAGUGACCCUGUUGUAAGGGCAGGAAUCUCCCCUGCAACUGGAAAAGAGAAUUUGCUUUUAUUACUAGUAAAUGUUGACAGUGUGCACAAUACUGCACAAAACCCAAAGAUAGUUUCCUGUGCUAAAUAAAAUGCCUUUUUGUAUUUAUAUUCCAGUAAUAGAGCACCUUUAAUCGUGAAGGGUCUCAGAGCAUUUUACAGAUUUCAGCUGAUAACCGGAGGAAUAAUUUUUCCCAGUGGUGACUGUACUUUGAAGGUAGAAAAACUGAUCAGUUGUUCAGCUGGGCAUAGCAGUUCUCCACAACAAUAUAAUAAAUGAAGUGAAGAAUACCAUUUAGAAACUGCAGCUGUCUGUAGGUAGGCAGAAUGUAAAUGAGAAAUUGUCCCUGAGAUUUUCUUUUUUCCUGGAAUUGGGUGGCAUUUCCUUUUUACUCCAUAACUGGCAUGUUUCAGUAAUUCUGAAAGACUCUUCUGUGCUGCUGUAUGAUUGAAUAUGACCACUUACAUCACUGAUAUUACCACUGUUCUACAAUUGCAACAAAUCUUUUACAAAGUAUGUCAUGUAAAUGUCAAUCCAGGUAUCCUCUUUAUAUCUGAAGUUAUGAAUAUUGGCCAUGGACUUGUAUUUUAUACAUGUGUUAUAGUCCUGGGUAACACCUACCAGACAGGAUUUACACUGGUACCAGACAGCUAUGUAGUGAUGGUCCAUCAAGGACACUUCACUCUCACAGUGCGCCAUCAAAGAAACUCAUCCUGCCCAGAUAGCUCUUCUUGCCGAUGUAUCAGUUUCCAAGGGGCCAAUGGCCACCUCCUGUGAGUCAUCAAAGCAUGACCCUGGACUCCAUCUUGGACUAGUAAUUUUCCAUGCACCUGGGCUGUGAGUUUAGUUGGGACAGCAAAAUUCCAUGCACAUGGCGGAGGAUAUAAAAGGACCCUGACAUAUCUCCAUUUUUGUCUUCAUUUUCUCUAGACUGGAUUUCUAACAAGGAAGCUCUAAGCAAGGACUGAUUACCCCCAACCUGUUUGGGUAAUUCCAGGGAGAGAGUUUUGCAAGCUAGCAGUUUAUUCCAUCAUUUCCAUGAUCCUGAUCUAUGAACACUGAAAAAUCACUUGUAUUAAUUUCUCUGCAUGACCUUGUCAUGCAUCUGAUGCAAAGUCACCAUUUUACAGACUGGUAUUAAAAGUGAAUGGCAAGAGCUGAGCAGUUGACUGAUAUGAAAAGGAAGAAACAGAGGUCUAAGGAUGAGAUGUCUGAAGCCCUCCUUACAGACUUUCCAAAAAGCCCUGGAAAACUACUGAUAACUGGAAAGUGUUUUUGAUGUCUGAAAGAGAAAAAGACAGGCAGCUAUCCAGCGACGGCAUUGAACUGGCUCGAGACAGUGUUGCCAUGACGAAAGAUGCUGCGGAGGAAGAUAGGGACUCCUGGAGGCAAUGAUCAGGCAGAACGUUCUGUUGGGUUGCAUAGUGAAAUUAGGCUAGCAGACAGUCGAGCAUCUUCAACCAGAAGCAGCCAUGUUCUGCAGCCCCUGUAUGAUCUAGGGUACUGGGAACACCAGCCUAUGUUUCCCGCAGUAGACCUGCAGCCUUGCUCCCAGAGGCCAUUCACUUCCCCAGCUUCAGCACUGGGUAGUAAGAACACCACAUGGGAGCCCAGCACAUCUGCACUAUCCAAUGCAUGUGGCAACUGUGACCCCAAUAUGCUACCCUAGAAGGCAGAGGGUCUAGAAGAAGCAAAGACAAGAUGUUCACCUGCGUGUGAACAGAAGUCCCCUCCCCUGACUUGUUGUGUGUUGCCCUCUUCACCCCACUGUAUGUGAAAGACAUUUUUUCACUUUAAA